Molecule: ribosomal RNA, 253 nt
Filed under: uncultured bacterium
Lineage: Bacteria
Description: partial 16S ribosomal RNA
Rfam family: Bacterial small subunit ribosomal RNA
Source: RNAcentral
UACGUAGGGCGCAAGCGUUGUUCGGAAUUACUGGGCGUAAAGGGCGCGUAGGCGGCCCUCUAAGUCGGACGUGAAAUCCCUCGGCUCAACCGGGGAACUGCGUCCGAUACUGGAGGGCUUGAAUCCGGGAGAGGGAUGUGGAAUUCCAGGUGUAGCGGUGAAAUGCGUAGAUAUCUGGAGGAACACCGGUGGCGAAGGCGGCAUCCUGGACCGGUAUUGACGCUGAGGCGCGAAAGCUAGGGUAGCAAACGGG